RNAcentral lists this transfer RNA (76 nucleotides) under Acidimicrobiia bacterium. Its description in RNAcentral is "tRNA-Gly". It matches the Rfam family "tRNA". Rfam says of the family: Transfer RNA (tRNA) molecules are approximately 80 nucleotides in length. Their secondary structure includes four short double-helical elements and three loops (D, anti-codon, and T loops). The record is from RNAcentral. Lineage: Bacteria; Bacillati; Actinomycetota; Acidimicrobiia. RNAcentral also lists the same sequence under 1 other name.
GCGGAAGUAGCUCAGCUGGUAGAGCGCAACCUUGCCAAGGUUGAGGUCGCGGGUUCGAAUCCCGUCUUCCGCUCCA